Molecule: long non-coding RNA, 3401 nt
Organism: Acanthochromis polyacanthus (spiny chromis)
Lineage: Eukaryota; Metazoa; Chordata; Actinopteri; Pomacentridae
Exons: 3
Source: RefSeq, a predicted model, not a curated record
CCGCCACAGCACUCCGAGGAGCGAGUGGGCACCCUCAGAGGGUACCGCCAGCAUCACCAGCAUCACCUCCAGCAUCCUCCCAGUCCUCCAGAGCACAGGAGUGAAUGGGAGGCGGGCGGAUAUCUCCCCAGAGGAGGGAUUUAUUCGUCCAACACCAGUGAAAUGUCCUACCCCUCUAGUCCAAAGGUGAUGAGAAACGCAUCCCAUGCCAGUCGUAUUUCCAAUUCGAGCAGUCCCCUGCAACUAGCUCCCAGUCCCCCCAACCAGAGGCGUCAGACGGCCCCUGUCAUGUCCAAACCCGUGAUGCUGCCUCAGUCGCAGACCCACCGACCAGAUCCACACAGACCUGCUCUCCGUUCUGAUGGCCUGGUAUGAAACACACCGCACAGCAAUUAUCGACAUCCUCCUGAAUCCACCUUAACACACUCCUAAAGCAUCCCACACUCUGUGCAAACAUUUGGCUGAAGCAUUAAUCUUCCCCUGAUGUUCAAGUUUCCAGCCAUCAUGGGCUUUUGUAUUGUAUUAUGCAUGUGACCACUUCUUGUCCUUGCCAGAAACUCUAACAAAACCAGCCAGACUAUUUAUUUCUCAAGCUUUGUUUACUUAAGACGUGUCAACUGAGCAAUUCUCUUUUACAUUAACCAUCUGCCUUACUCAGUAUAGUUAUAGUGACACCUGAUGAUCACACACUUCUACCUCUGCAGCUGGAGGUAGAAAUCCAUACCACCUAUGGUACCCUUAGCCAGAGAUGCAAUUAAUCAUUCACCUUCGUCGUGGCACAUUCUGCCCUGAUCGAAUGAGUUCACAAACUGGGGAAUAAUUCCGCUCACGCCUUUGUUAUUGAUGUUUUUGGAUACACCAAACGUGACUGGAUUUGAAGCUGAAUUACACACUUCGGCAUGAAGGAAACAUGCUGUUUAAUGAUCUUUUGUCACAUCUGCUGCAGUAUAUUCUCACUGUGAUGAACCAUCUCCUGUAGUAUCUGUGCUGAGCUUCAGUUCUAGUCUGUCACUUUAUUUUUUCCUUGAAUAAUCUAAAAUGAGUGAAAAGUCUAUUUUUCUUAGUGUCAACAAAUUCAAUUUUAGAAACAACAAUUAAUUGAUCUAUUUCCAAGUUUUGUCUCUGUAAGACACAACAUAAAAGUGACCCAUCUUGCCUAGAUUCCAAGUCCCCACAAAAACAGUUAUAACAUUUAAUCACCACUCCAAUAGACGAAUUCAGCUUCAGUGUGCCAAAGCAAUUAACAAAGCUAUCUAAAGAAAUGCAACAAGAUAACCUAACCAAAAACUACAAAUCCAGUAUGUCACCUCUGUGUUUAGAACAAACAGGAGGAAUGACAGGCCUCCCUCUGAGAUUCCAUCAGAGCACCAAAUCCACCCAGAUGGCAAAAGCUGCAGGUGGAGGUGCAGGAUGCAGGUGUGGCUGGUUGGUAGAUGAGUGAUUCCUCUGCACUGCGACAGCGCCAUAUUGGCUGCUUAUAUUCUCGGCGGUCAUCGGUCAGGAACCAGUCAUCACCUGUGCCUGCACACCUCAAUUAACACACAAUCUGUCUGACUAUAGACUGUACAGUCUAAACACCUGAUGCAUCUAUACGUCCGAUAUAGGAAAAGACAACAGACUCGUACCAUUUUUCUCUGACAUGCUCAACAUUCUUGUUUAUACAUUUCUAAUUUCUUUGUUAGAGUCAUAAACACUGUUGCUCAUUUUAGGAGUUUGCCAAUCAUACUAUCCCACUGAAUAAAUGUGUAGAUGUCAGUAGUCUGCAACAAAUACACUUUUAGGCCACAUUUGUUUUCUAUUGCUUUGUUUUAUGUUUUUUAAGAACUCCGAUCUUUGAAUCUUCCUUGAAUAGAAAUGUGUUUUUUUUCUUGGAAUUUGUUCGUAAAAUAAUUCCUCAUGACCUCCGAUUUAACUCCUGUGGACAUUUUCUGAUAUUGAUUUUAUUUCACAGCUACUUAUUUAUUAGAAUAGUCUGUGUGCUUACCAAGAGUAGUUUACCAUAGCGAUGCAACAAAUGGAUUUUCAGUGGAAAAUUAAUCGAUAAAUAUUACCAUAAUCAAAACCUUUUUUUUUUUUCACGCAACAAAGGUCAAAUCUUGCAUGGCUCCAGAUUUCUGGUUUUCUUGGUUUUAUAUUCUAGUAAGCUAAAUAUCUUUGGAUUUUGACAUAGAAAAGACAGUUGGCUUCACUAGGAUGAAAUUUAAUAAAGAGAUUUAUUCAAAAAAAACAAUGGAUCUUGAAAAUAAUUGUGAGUCUCCAACCAGGGAGGGCAACAGUGCAGAGCUGUUAAACCUGGUCUUUGGUUUCCAUUGUAAUAUGCAGAAAACUGUUGAAAUUGGGUCUUUAUGAAAGCCUGAUCUUGUGUUUCAGCCUCCAGAAAUGCUGAAACGGAUGGUGCCUUUCAACUCGUCUUUUAAAUCAAACAACAAAGGACAAGUAAUCCAUCCCUCUCCCAUCAGCUGAUCUGAGUGCUUUUCUGCUUUUAUCUUUAUUUUCUUUGUCUCCGUGUUAGCACUCAGGUUUGCUGGGGAUCAGCUGGAGCCUCAGUGAUCCUUUAGUUUCAUCAUCUAGCCUCUCUGUUGGCUGCAUCGCUGCCUUUUGAUGCAGUUGUGGUGCUUACACAUGACUGAGCUUUGAUUGAUUUUGAGCAGACAGUAGUACUGUGUGGGAAUGCAUGUUGAACUGUUUUGGAGAUGAGUUUACAUUAUUACUAACAACAGGUGGUUUGACAUCAAGAGCUGUUCUGUAACGUCUCAUUUAAGUCUCCAAGUGGUUGUAAACUAUCUGUCUACAGGAAAGGGUUUCAGUUCGCUGAAUUUUGUUAGAUUCAUCUAUUAUUCUAAAUGCCACAUCCGUUAAAUGGUUUUCGGUGAUGCAGCUGCUGGCUCCAGACACAAUAAAUAUAAACAAAUGUCACAAAUGAGUUAAUUUUUUAUGUCCAACUUUGAGCAUCUGCAUACAACAGGAAGUGAACUGUUAGAUUAAUGUGUGUUUAUCCUGCAGGGAGAAAAAUGUCUCUGACUCAUCAUAGCUGAACGAAUGUGGUGUUCUUUCUCUGAAAGCUUUGUUCUGUUUCCUUCACCUUCACGUGGAAUGAAAUAGCUGUCCUGUUAGGAAUGAUUUGUGUGUGUGUGUGUGUGUGUGUGGUGUGUUAUUGUGACUUAUUCUAGGUGUGAGUCUUUAAAAGCCAUCGUGCUUUUUGAAAUAAUGACCACGAGCGUCUCCAUGGUUUCCCUUCAUUAAAAGCAGCAUUAGGCCUUAACACAGAACUGAUUGUCAAAGAAAAUCUGAGCAGCACUUCAUGCAGUGACCUGUAACACUCUAGUGAUCACAGAGAUGUUGUGCUUCUUCACUUUAUGCUGAUAUGUUGAUCAGGGGUCAUGACCUGCUUGUUGAUUCUU